This 401-nucleotide ribosomal RNA is filed under the name uncultured bacterium. RNAcentral describes it as "bacterial SSU rRNA". It matches the Rfam family "Bacterial small subunit ribosomal RNA", at positions 355 to 772 of the family's 1533-position model. The record is from RNAcentral.
UGGGGAAUAUUGCACAAUGGGCGCAAGCCUGAUGCAGCAAUGCCGCGUGAGUGAAGACGGCCUUAGGGUUGUAAAACUCUUUCGCUAGGGAAGAAAAUGACGGUACCUGCAGAAGAAGGUGCGGCCAACUACGUGCCAGCAGCCGCGGUGACACGUAGGCACCAAGCGUUGUCCGGAUUUAUUGGGCGUAAAGAGCUCGUAGGCGGUUCAGUAAGUCGGGUGUGAAAACUCUGGGCUCAACCCAGAGAGGCCACCCGAUACUGCUGUGACUUGAGUACGGUAGGGGAGCGGGGAAUUCCUGGUGUAGCGGUGAAAUGCGCAGAUAUCAGGAGGAACACCAGUGGCGAAGGCGCCGCUCUGGGCCGUAACUGACGCUGAGGAGCGAAAGCAUGGGUAGCAAA